RNAcentral lists this long non-coding RNA (339 nucleotides) under Fukomys damarensis (Damara mole-rat). RNAcentral describes it as "lncRNA (ENSFDAG00000025385.1)". The record is from RNAcentral. Lineage: Eukaryota; Metazoa; Chordata; Mammalia; Rodentia; Bathyergidae.
CUUCAUGUGCGGUAUUCCCUUUAUUUAGUUAUGAAAAUACAAGAGCUGGCAUCAGACAACCCAAGUGACAAUGGUAACCCAUUGUUGCGAUUUUACUUUAUCUUUGAUAUAAUUAAGAUACAAGUUCACUACUUAUAUAACAAGAUGAGUUUAUCCUGGAGUCAGACGGACCCUCAAUCCAGUCUGCCUGAUGUUCUCAUAAGAAGAUCCAGACAAAGGAGAAACUAGGAAGAGGCGAAGAAGAUGCUACCCAAAGAAACAUGAGUCUGCCAAGACCUUGUUCUGGGAACUUCCGUUUCCCCAACUCAAAGACCACAGUUGUUUCUUGCUUUCAGCCAC